This 451-nucleotide ribosomal RNA is filed under the name uncultured bacterium. Its description in RNAcentral is "bacterial SSU rRNA". It matches the Rfam family "Bacterial small subunit ribosomal RNA", at positions 330 to 795 of the family's 1533-position model. The record is from RNAcentral.
UCCAGACUCCUACGGGAGGCAGCAGUGGGGAAUAUUGGACAAUGGGGGGAACCCUGAUCCAGCGACGCCGCGUGAGUGAAGAAGUAUCUCGGUAUGUAAAGCUCUAUCAGCAGGGAAGAAAGGAAUGACGGUACCUGACUAAGAAGCCCCGGCUAACUACGUGCCAGCAGCCGCGGUAAUACGUAGGGGGCAAGCGUUAUCCGGAUUUACUGGGUGUAAAGGGAGCGUAGACGGCGAUGCAAGCCAGAUGUGAAAGCCCGGGGCUCAACCCCCGGACUGCUCUGGAAACUGUACGGCUGGAGUGCAGGAGAGGUAAGUGGAAUUCCUAGUGUAGCGGUGAAAUGCGUAGAUAUUAGGAGGAACACCAGUGGCGAAGGCGGCUUACUGGACUGUAACUGACGUUGAGGCUCGAAAGCGUGGGGAGCAAACAGGAUUAGAUACCCCAGUAGUC